AGUCCUUAGCCCGCUCUGAGCCACCGGAGUCAGAGGGCUCGGGCGCCUGCCUUCUUGGUGCGGGCUGGGGAGGACCUGCUCGCAAAGGGCUGCCAACUGAACUUUCCUGCACUAGGGGUGACCGCAUUGUGGUGCAAAGUGACAAGUCGAGUGUUGGCUUGGGGACUGCAAUGUAAGUGAGGGACCCUGGGUGUUGGUGGAGGGGAGAAUGGAGGGAUUAUUGCCCACUCCCCCCUCCGCCGUGCCAAGUUCAGCCAGAAGUUAACGAAGUUUGCUUUUAGGGAUUGAACUCGUCUUGGGUUCUCCGACCGCGCAGGGCUUGGGGUUAGGGAAAGGAGGGGCAGAGUCCUUUGUGCCCAUCGCGUGCAAACUUUGGCCCCAAACAGGACCGGCCACCAGGAAGGGAACCAGGUAUGCGCUGGGGUCCCGAGCGGCCCCCUGGCAGCGGACGUUCCCGCAGGUAGUGCGCGACUCUUGCCCCAGGAAGAAGUCGCUGCUGCCUGCAGGGUGGCCUUGGAGAGGCUCGGGCCUCCAUUGAGACUGCUCACUUCCUUUUCUCCGGGAACACGGCUCUUCAGCUUUUUCCGCCCUAGGCUCCCCCACCUCCUCGGUUCCCCAUGGGAGAGUUAUUUGAGGGCUCCCCGGAGUUGGGAGUUGACCCACCAAUCCUAGCAAAUCAAGGCCCGCCCGGCUA
Molecule: long non-coding RNA, 694 nt
Filed under: Pongo abelii (Sumatran orangutan)
Lineage: Eukaryota; Metazoa; Chordata; Mammalia; Primates; Hominidae
Description: lincRNA
Source: RNAcentral